This 505-nucleotide ribosomal RNA is filed under the name uncultured bacterium. Its description in RNAcentral is "partial 16S ribosomal RNA". It matches the Rfam family "Bacterial small subunit ribosomal RNA", at positions 28 to 507 of the family's 1533-position model. The record is from RNAcentral.
GACGAACGCUGGCGGCGUGCCUAAUACAUGCAAGUAGAACGCACAGUUUAUACCGUAGCUUGCUACACCAUAAACUGUGAGUUGCGAACGGGUGAGUAACGCGUAGGUAACCUGCCUGGUAGCGGGGGAUAACUAUUGGAAACGAUAGCUAAUACCGCAUAAUAUUGAUUAUUGCAUGAUAAUUGAUUGAAAUAUGCUAUUGCAUCACUACCAGAUGGACCUGCGUUGUAUUAGCUAGUAUGUGAGGUAACGGCUCACCUAGGCGACGAUACAUAGCCGACCUGAGAGGGUGAUCGGCCACACUGGGAAUGGGACACGGCCCAGACUCCUACGGGAGGCAGCAGUAGGGAAUCUUCGGCAAUGGACGAAAGUCUGACCGAGCAACGCCGCGUGAGUGAAGAAGGUUUUCGGAUCGUAAAGCUCUGUUGUAAGAGAAGAACGGGUGUGAGAGUGGAAAGUUCACACUGUGACGGUAUCUUACCAGAAAGGGACGGCUAACUACGUG